RNAcentral lists this ribosomal RNA (925 nucleotides) under Staphylococcus aureus. Its description in RNAcentral is "partial 23S ribosomal RNA". It matches the Rfam family "Bacterial large subunit ribosomal RNA", at positions 356 to 1288 of the family's 2925-position model. Lineage: Bacteria; Bacillati; Bacillota; Bacilli; Caryophanales; Staphylococcaceae. The record is from RNAcentral.
CAAAGAAGGUAAUAAUCCUGUAGUCGAAAAUGUUGUCUCUCUUGAGUGGAUCCUGAGUACGACGGAGCACGUGAAAUUCCGUCGGAAUCUGGGAGGACCAUCUCCUAAGGCUAAAUACUCUCUAGUGACCGAUAGUGAACCAGUACCGUGAGGGAAAGGUGAAAAGCACCCCGGAAGGGGAGUGAAAUAGAACCUGAAACCGUGUGCUUACAAGUAGUCAGAGCCCGUUAAUGGGUGAUGGCGUGCCUUUUGUAGAAUGAACCGGCGAGUUACGAUUUGAUGCAAGGUUAAGCAGUAAAUGUGGAGCCGUAGCGAAAGCGAGUCUGAAUAGGGCGUUUAGUAUUUGGUCGUAGACCCGAAACCAGGUGAUCUACCCUUGGUCAGGUUGAAGUUCAGGUAACACUGAAUGGAGGACCGAACCGACUUACGUUGAAAAGUGAGCGGAUGAACUGAGGGUAGCGGAGAAAUUCCAAUCGAACCUGGAGAUAGCUGGUUCUCUCCGAAAUAGCUUUAGGGCUAGCCUCAAGUGAUGAUUAUUGGAGGUAGAGCACUGUUUGGACGAGGGGCCCCUCUCGGGUUACCGAAUUCAGACAAACUCCGAAUGCCAAUUAAUUUAACUUGGGAGUCAGAACAUGGGUGAUAAGGUCCGUGUUCGAAAGGGAAACAGCCCAGACCACCAGCUAAGGUCCCAAAAUAUAUGUUAAGUGGAAAAGGAUGUGGCGUUGCCCAGACAACUAGGAUGUUGGCUUAGAAGCAGCCAUCAUUUAAAGAGUGCGUAAUAGCUCACUAGUCGAGUGACACUGCGCCGAAAAUGUACCGGGGCUAAACAUAUUACCGAAGCUGUGGAUUGUCCUUUGGACAAUGGUAGGAGAGCGUUCUAAGGGCGUUGAAGCAUGAUCGUAAGGACAUGUGGAGCGCUUAGAAG